This 491-nucleotide long non-coding RNA is filed under the name Parus major (Great Tit). RNAcentral's name for it is "lncRNA (ENSPMJG00000002523.1)". The record is from RNAcentral. Lineage: Eukaryota; Metazoa; Chordata; Aves; Passeriformes; Paridae.
GGAGCCCCCCGGGCCGCCUGAGACCCCCUGGGUGGGAUCUGACCCCCCCUGGGGUGGGGUUUGAUCCCCCCUGGGUGGGAUCUGACCCCUCCAUGGGGCAGGAUCCAGCCCCGAUCCCAUCAGGAUUUGGGGUCGGGUCUUGUUCCCCUUCUCGCUGCCCUACUGGGACCUGCCGGGAGCCCCCCGGGCUGGGUGAGACCCCCUGGGGUGGGAUUGAUCCCCCCUGGGUGGGAUCUGACCCCCCCUGGGUGGGAUCUGACCCCUCCAUGGGGCAGGAUCCACCCCCGAUCCCAUCAGGAUUUGGGGUCGGGUCUUGUGUCCCCUCUCCAGAUCCUGAAGGAACUUUCUGGAACCCCUCCAGGGUGGGAUUUGACCCCUCCCCGGGUGGGAUUUGACCCCUCCCCGGGGGGAUUUGACCCCCCCAAAGCGGAUCUGGCCCCGAUCCCUUCGGGGGUCUCGGGCACGUCGGGCACUGCUGUGGCAAUUAAAGG